CUCCCUCCCUCCCUCCCUCCCUCUCUCUCUCUCUCUCUCUCUCUCAUCCCUCCUAAAUCUCUUGGCCCAUUCAUCCUUCCCACAGAACAGCUCAAUUAAACUCAGCGCUGCAGUAAGAUAGCAUUUCACUGAGGAAGGGAAAGAUUUUUUUUAACCACGAAACAAUGCUGAGAAAUUUGCAGCUGGGGAAAUCUGAAAUGGAAAAACAGCACAGGGAGAGUGUUGCUUUGCAUCAGGUUGUCAGACAGCUGGCAUAAUGGGGUAGGCGAGGCCAUGCGCUCGCAUUAAACAGCGCGGUAAUGCAUUGCACGGCAGUCUCCCAGGGAUCCAGUGCCGGUACGCACUCAAGGCUCAGUCCUACCUUAAUCUAUUGAUUAUGCUUAUAGGAGUACACAAAAGCAGGGAGAAAAGACAGUCCUUCUCAUCUGUACUAGAGGGGAUUAUCCUGCCCUCUUUCCCUCUCCUCCUACAGUAUGGCUGGUCACAGUCCCAGCAGGCAACUUUACAUUACUACAGAGUGGAGAAGAGGUAGGAGAGAGAGAGAGCGAGAGAGAGCGAGAGAGAGAGAGAGAGAGAGAGAGACAAAAAGUAGGCUUGCCAGAAAUGCGAAAAACCUAAGCGCUGGAGUACCACUUCUGCAGGCAGGAUAAAAAAAAAACAUUUAUCUUGACGCUGAAAGCACUUGAACAUUUACUGAAUGUUAAAGGACCAUGUGCUGCAGACCACUCUGUAUGCUGAUGCCAAUGGAGAACUAGACCAGCCUGAACAUCAGACCUGCCCUGCCCUGCCCUGCCUCAGUGCCCAUGGCACCAUGCCAGGUGGGUGCCUCCUCUUACUGAUGCCCCUGGAAAUGUACACAUGCCCCACCCAGGUUUUGGUGUCUCGCGCUCGUGCUCGUGCUCUCCCUCUCUCUCUCUCUCUCUCUCUCUCUCUCUCUCUCUCUCUCUCUCUCUCUCUCUCUUAUUCUCUCUCUUAAUCCUGCCCCCCCCCCUCUUUCCCCUCUUUCCCUCUCUGCCCCCCAUCUAAAUGCAGUUCGUUUCCGAGCUGUUGGCUAUGCACCACCCCAAACAUUUGUCUUGAGCAAACAGCAAGGGGACAGGCAGGCAAGGAAACAGGACACAAGCCAUCCGCCUCCCCAGAAGAAGAAAAAAAAACAUCCUCCUCUGGCUAGCCUUCUGUUGCAUGCCUCCACACACACCACCUUCUGAGUGGCGACCAACAUUACACCUCUGCCUCAAACACAAGUGAGGGCCAAUGUGAGGGAAGGUGGAAACAUGAGAGCAUCUAUAGCUAUAACCCUAUGGCAAGAGUAGCAGAAAUGAGAAAUGAGAAGGAUUAGCAUUAGCGAUGGCAUUACAAACACUGGCUGUGAAUACUGUUGUAAAGAACUGUAAAGAGGUGCUUAGCGAAAAGGCAGAGGAUGCUUCAGAGCAUUUGAUGGCAUAAUAAAGACACGCUCAAUCAGCUCGCAGACAAACGGGCUAUGCGAUAUAACUACCAGAAGAAUCAUGUCCGAUUACACAACCAAAAUGUCACCCAUUGCACUUGUGACAACAGUGAUGGCACACAGAUAUAAACCAUGUGUGUGUGUGUGUCGUACGAGCCAGCAUGUCGUUACCAUCGGCAUUCUCAUAUUCUAGGAGGCACCGGUGCAUUGCAUGGAGGAAGAAGAAGAUGAAGAGACCCUGUUGCAUCCAUCACUUUAGAUAUGAACUCAGCAAAAAUCCUCAGCGAAAAACAAAUAUUAAAAUGAAAUACAAUCAAGCCCACAUUUUUACACUUUACACACUUUUCACUUUACUGAAAAAUGGCUUAGAAAAGGCAUUUGUAAGACAUACAAAUGUUAUGAGCAUUUUAAAAAGGUAAAGGUUAUCUGGAAUACUUAUUUUUUCUUGCACCAGUGCACACAGAUAACCAGCCAAAUUCAGUUGAUGAGGUGUCACAACAAACAGCCACCACUAUUAUCACUGCCCACAUCACAGCACCGACAACAGCGCAGACAGAAAAAUGAUCCACACUGACAACAAACCCAACAGAAAUAAUAUACCCGGACAAGGUGUGAUGGUCAGGUACAGGUAGCAAGGAUAUGCAUAUGACCCUCUCUCUGGAGGGAUUGAGGUCCGUGCACAUUACGUCUGCAAUGGCAUUUAGUGAGCACCAGCUUUGCUUACCUCCACAGGUUUAAGAAAGAAAGAUGGCCCCAGGUUUCACUCCCUCCUUGGCUAACUCUGCGUCUUGCUUUCCCCUCUAAUCUGGGUCUUCUCCCUCCUCCUCUCUGUGUGAGUGAUUGUGCUCUCUCGCUCUCUAGCGCUGAUGCUGCAGUGAUACAAAAACACACCCUCUCCUACUUGCGCUCUCCCUCCCUCGCUCUGAUUGGCUGAUGGGGAGAGGUGACAUCACCCUUUUUCUCCCACUCCCUGCUUCCUCCACUCCCUCCCUCCCUCCCUCUCACUCUCUCUCCCUCCCU
Long non-coding RNA from Clupea harengus (Atlantic herring), 2467 nucleotides. NCBI's taxonomy places the organism in Eukaryota, Metazoa, Chordata, Actinopteri, Clupeiformes, Clupeidae. The record is from Ensembl.